UAAAUUGGUCAUUUUACCAUUUUAAUAUAAAAAGAAUAAAAAAUGAAAAUUGGUAUCUCCUUCACAAUUCCUUGACCCCCAUCGCCCAAUCCCAUUAAAACAAUCCACCAUUAUCGUCACCAAUACCACCACUCACCUUCGCCUCCCAUAACCACCGCCAUACCCACCAAAUCAAUCUACAAUUUUCUCCCUCAACAUCGACCCUUCAACGCCAUUUAACUAAAUUCAACCCACAACCAAUGAGCUCGGAGAUGCGAUCAACAGUAUGUUUCGCGAUGGAACCCAUUCUAAGCCCAACAACCAUUAUUAUCAUCAUUAACAGUACAAGUACCAGAAAAUACAAAUACUUUUGCCGUCUAAUUUACGUUGGAGGCUCCAAGAAUGACUCAAUCUUUUAGUGUGGAUCCAAAAUUCGGCCUCCACUCGAAGAAUUUGAGUGGCAGCGAGAGUCAAAUCUUUGAUUUCGACUCUAAACUUGCUAUUGUGGUAUGCUUUCAUUUGGUACUGAAAGGAAAUUGUUGUAAGAUAAUAGCUUUUGAUUGAUCCAGGGUAGAAGGUCGAUGGUGAUGCAAGGAGAAAAUAGAGUUUGAGAGAGAUGGAGAUAAAGUGAAUGGCGAUAUGCA
This 623-nucleotide long non-coding RNA is filed under the name Olea europaea (common olive). RNAcentral's name for it is "long non-coding RNA (OEUR_LNC005856)". The record is from RNAcentral. Lineage: Eukaryota; Viridiplantae; Streptophyta; Magnoliopsida; Lamiales; Oleaceae.